UCCUGGAGCUGGGGGAAGUAGGGGGCGGGGUGCUGACUGCUACAGAGAGGAACUCCAGACCUCUGACCAGCUGGGUUGUUGUGAGUCUGACCACCUCCCCUGCCCAGUUCAGAACUCUGAGGUCUCUUCCUUUCAUCUCAAGACCCACCUGUCCACGGAGAUUCCCCACAAAUGGAGAAAGAUAAACAAAACAUAUUUGAAAAAAGAAGGCGAAGGACAGAGUAAGAAGAAGAGAGAAACUUGCAACAACCAACGUUCUAUCACUUGUGAGGCUUCUUCCUCUCUGCAGGACAGAGCCGGCCUCCUGUGACUGCACUGGCUGAGGGCAGGGCCCCAGCCCAGUGAACUCCAGCAGAAGAAGGUGGGAAGACAGAGGGCCAAUGAUCUCCUAUACAGGUGGGACUGGAGAGGUGCAUCAAGGGGUCAG
This is a long non-coding RNA of Erinaceus europaeus (western European hedgehog), 427 nucleotides long. RefSeq lists it as uncharacterized. The transcript has 3 exons. The record is from RefSeq and is a predicted model, not a curated record. NCBI's taxonomy places the organism in Eukaryota, Metazoa, Chordata, Mammalia, Eulipotyphla, Erinaceidae.